Molecule: ribosomal RNA, 395 nt
Filed under: uncultured bacterium
Lineage: Bacteria
Description: bacterial SSU rRNA
Rfam family: Bacterial small subunit ribosomal RNA
Source: RNAcentral
GGAAUCUUAGACAAUGGGCGCAAGCCUGAUCUAGCCAUGCCGCGUGAGUGACGAAGGCCUUAGGGUCGUAAAGCUCUUUCGCCAGGGAUGAUAAUGACCGUACCUGGUAAAGCAACCCCGGCUAACUCCGUGCCAGCAGCCGCGGUAAUACGGAGGGGGUUAGCGUUGUUCGGAAGUACUGGGCGUAAAGCGUACGUAGGCGGAUUAGAAAGUUGGGGGUGAAAUCCCAGGGCUCAACCCUUGAACUGCCUCCAAAACUACUAGUCUAGAGUUCGAGAGAGGUGAGUGGAAUUCCAAGUGUAGAGGUGAAAUUCGUAGAUAUUUGGAGGAACACCAGUGGCGAAGGCGGCUCAGUGGCUCGAUACUGACGCUGAGGUACGAAAGUGUGGGGAGCA